ACUCUUACUCUAUCCUUGUCUCUCUCUCACCCACACCUCAAACCCUUUCCGAGAACAGCCACCGAGACCACCCUCACCGGCCUUUCUCCCUCCAACGACCCUUACACCACCACCAUUUCUUCCCCUAUGAGUUCUACGUGCCCAGAACGAGGAGAACCCCUUACUUCUCUCUCUUUCUCUCAUUCAUUGCACAAUACCUUCACUGUGCAAAAAGUAAAUCCGACGAGUUCUCGCCAUUUUCCGAUGAGAAACCAACUUGGGAAUCAUUCUCCUAGUUUUCCAACGAAGGAUCAUGAGUUGUAGGCCAUUUUCCGGCUGAUCCCGACCUGGAUUUAAUCUCAUCUUGGUGCAUCGAUUGGAAAUGAUUCAGUCCUCCCUAGUUCAAGCGGCUCUUUGGUAGUGGAAUACUUGUGAGUGGAUCCUUCUUAAAUUGCAUGUUUUUAUAAAAUAUUAGGCUCACGUGCAUUUCAUAUUUCAUGGAUUAAUUACAUUUUAUGAUAUGAUUUACAGAUUGUUGAAUUUAUGCUUUAUGAAGGAUUUAUGAUUUAUCAAAAUUGUUUUUAUACAUAUUGAUGAUUUAUCGAAUUUAUGUUUUACUAAAGGUUAUGACAUAUGGGAUUUUCAUAUAUAGAAUUCUAUGGCUUUACGAAUGUGAAUUAUCUUGGAUUUAUGAAAUGAGGCUUUGAGCUUGUGAGCUUCGGAUUUGGAUAUGAGAUUUUUGAGAUAUGUUUUUGGUGCUUAUCUAGGGGGUUAUCAUACAGCUCAUCCACAUAACACGGGUAUGUAGAUGGCUAUGGUCUUAGGGCACAGUUGAGGAUAGUUAUAUAUAUUUCUUCUCCAGCGUAACCCGAAGUCGUACAGCUUCACCUUCGGGUGAUGGAGCCUACCAUGUUUCUUCACUAGCGUGAUCCAGUGUUGUACAGCUUCACCUUCAGGUGAUGGACAGGUACUGCCUUCGGGCGAAUGAGGAGUUGAUGAUAUUAAUGAUAUACCAUCAGCUUCACUAGCCCGGGGGCUAGUGUUAGUGUGUGAUAAUAUAUAUUUCUUCUCAAGCGUAACUUGGAGUCGUACAGUUUCACCUUCGAGUGAUGGGGCCUACCAUGUUUCUUCACUGGCGUAAACCAGUGUCGUAUAGCUUCACCUUUGGGUGAUGGACAGGUACUGCCUUUGGGCGACUAUGAUACCCCUAAAGAGUACAGUAUUGUUGAGAUUUAUAUGUUUGCCUUCGGACGAUGAUAUCACUGUUAUUGAGCAUGGUUUUACUCAUACUUAUUUACAAAUGAUUUCAUGGCAGCUAGAGUUUUCAGAAAACUUACUAUAUGUAGUAUUAUAUAUGUUUUCAAAACAGGGGGCUAGUAUGUUCCGCAAUAAAAUGGUUUUCCUAUUAUUAGUAUUAAUAUAAAUUAUGGUCCACUCACCUUUUUAUUUUGCGCCCCCUCAAGAUAUAAUGAACAGGACUACGACCCGAGCAUUGAGGCAUUUCCCUACCAAUGACCUUACAUCCCUCGUAUGGCCUCCUUUUAUGAUCAUUGUUACUUAAUGCCUGACCUUUCUCUGGCAUUUUCAUUUAGUGGUAUGCUCUGAACAUAUCCACACAUCUUUAUUUAGAUUUUUUAUUGUUGGAUACUUUGUCUUGUUCAUGUUUAAAUUGGAUUAUUGUUAUAAUUGCCUCUUCAUGUUUAUAAAUUCCUUGUGAUUAUUGUUGUUGCCUAAUUUUGGUUACUUAUCCUUCCAUAUUUUUCGCAUAUUCAUUCAUUCAUGGCUUUCGUCACCUUUGGGUGUCAGCCAGCACGUACCAUCUAGGUGUCAUUUGGACAUAUGGGUUGGAGCGUAUCACAGAAGAAGGCAAAAUCCAAUAAGAUCAAUCAAGAGAAGAAGACUAUUCUCCACCAUUCGGGUUUGAGGCCCUUCUUAUAUAGGAUAAAGACGCAGCAGCUGGAAAUAAUAAAGCUUUUCAUAUUCCAUUUUUAAUAUGUCAAUAAUAUUAUUUUUUUUGUACUAACAAUUUUCUUAGCUUGUUCUAUUCAGGGGGGGGUUCAAAAUUCUCGGAGAUCCAUUUCUUUGCAGACAUUUAUGUUCGACUUAGGGAUGAGUUGGCUAAGUCCCUUCAUGCGACAAUGAUGGAGAAUAGGCAAUCGGUUCUUCAAGAGUCCACCUCUUAGCUUCCUCCCGAGACUCUGAUUGAGUCUAUAGAUCCCCCCAAGGAUGCGGGAUUUCAAAUACUUACAGACACUUUGGAUCAGACUCUCGAGAGGAGGGCAGAGACGUAUUGUAGGGGGAUGGGGAAUGCCCAGCGGCGGGAACCCAGAGAGUCUUCAUCCUUGCAGUCGAAGGGCGAGGUCACAUCUUUGACAACAGAGGUGGCCAGCCUUAGGACUAAGCUCACAUCAUAUAAGAGCCAUAUGUCACUGAUCAUACAAGCCCUUAGUCAGUCCAGCAUUCAUCUCCCAGAUAUUUGUCCCCCGUCAACGUUUGAGCCGCUCUAACUUGAGCAUGCCCAAAACUCCACCCCUUCGACCUCUAAGCCCGUCCUCAACCUUGAGACCUUCUUGCCCCAAGCUUUCCAAUCGCCUGCGAAUGACGACCUUGUAAAUUAUUCCACUUCUUUUCUUAGUUUUUUACUCCCGUACUUUUUAAACUUUUUCAUUGU
Molecule: long non-coding RNA, 2650 nt
Organism: Pyrus x bretschneideri (Chinese white pear)
Lineage: Eukaryota; Viridiplantae; Streptophyta; Magnoliopsida; Rosales; Rosaceae
Exons: 4
Source: RefSeq, a predicted model, not a curated record